RNAcentral lists this ribosomal RNA (425 nucleotides) under uncultured bacterium. Its description in RNAcentral is "bacterial SSU rRNA". It matches the Rfam family "Bacterial small subunit ribosomal RNA", at positions 355 to 773 of the family's 1533-position model. The record is from RNAcentral.
UCGAGAAUUUUUCUCAAUGGGCGAAAGCCUGAAGGAGCGACGCCGCGUGGGGGAUGAAGGGCUUCGGUCCGUAAACCCCUGUCAUUUGCGAACAAACCUUACUAUUAAACAGGUAGUGAGCUGAUUGUAGCGAAAGAGGAAGGGACGGCUAACUCUGUGCCAGCAGCCGCGGUAAUACAGAGGUCCCGAGCGUUGUUCGGAUUCACUGGGCGUAAAGGGUGCGUAGGUGGCGGGGUAAGUUUGAUGUGAAAUCUCCGGGCUUAACCCGGAAACUGCAUUGAAUACUAUUCUGCUAGAGGUUUGGAGGGGGGACUGGAAUUCUCGGUGUAGCAGUGAAAUGCGUAGAUAUCGAGAGGAACACCAGUGGCGAAGGCGAGUCCCUGGACAACACCUGACACUGAGGCACGAAAGCUAGGGGAGCAAAC